RNAcentral lists this ribosomal RNA (253 nucleotides) under uncultured bacterium. Its description in RNAcentral is "partial 16S ribosomal RNA". It matches the Rfam family "Bacterial small subunit ribosomal RNA", at positions 524 to 776 of the family's 1533-position model. The record is from RNAcentral.
UACGGAGGGUGCAAGCGUUAUCCGGAUUCACUGGGUUUAAAGGGUGCGUAGGUGGGCAAGUAAGUCAGUGGUGAAAUCUCCGGGCUUAACCCGGAAACUGCCAUUGAUACUAUUUGUCUUGAAUACUGUGGAGGUCAGCGGAAUAUGUCAUGUAGCGGUGAAAUGCUUAGAUAUGACAUAGAACACCAAUUGCGAGGGCAGCUGGCUACACAAAUAUUGACACUGAGGCACGAAAGCGUGGGGAUCAAACAGG